Molecule: ribosomal RNA, 498 nt
Filed under: uncultured bacterium
Lineage: Bacteria
Description: partial 16S ribosomal RNA
Rfam family: Bacterial small subunit ribosomal RNA
Source: RNAcentral
GACGAACGCUGGCGGCGUGCCUAAUACAUGCAAGUCGAACGAGAGCAACCGGUGCUUGCCCUGGUCAAUCUAGUGGCGAACGGGUGAGCAACACGUGGGUAACCUGCCCAUCAGAGGGGGAUAACAUCCGGAAACGGAUGCUAAAACCGCAUAGGUCUUCGAACCGCAUGGUUUGAAGAGGAAAAGAGGCGCAAGCUUCUGCUGAUGGAUGGACCCGCGGUGCAUUAGCUAGUUGGUGAGGUAACGGCUCACCAAGGCCGUGAUGCAUAGCCGACCUGAGAGGGUGAUCGGCCACAUUGGGACUGAGACACGGCCCAAACUCCUACGGGAGGCAGCAGUAGGGAAUCUUCCGCAAUGGACGCAAGUCUGACGGAGCAACGCCGCGUGAGUGAAGAAGGUUUUCGGAUCGUAAAACUCUGUUGUUAGAGAAGAACAAGUGCUAGAGUAACUGUUAGCGCCUUGACGGUAUCUAACCAGAAAGCCACGGCUAACUACGUG